RNAcentral lists this ribosomal RNA (253 nucleotides) under uncultured bacterium. Its description in RNAcentral is "partial 16S ribosomal RNA". It matches the Rfam family "Bacterial small subunit ribosomal RNA", at positions 524 to 776 of the family's 1533-position model. The record is from RNAcentral.
UACGUAGGGUGCGAGCGUUAAUCGGAAUUACUGGGCGUAAAGCGCGGGCAGGCGGUCUGACAAGUCUGAUGUGAAAUCUCCGGGCUUAACCGGGAGAGGCCAUUGGAAACUGACAGGCUGGAGGGCAGUAGAGGUAGGCGGAAUUCCGGGUGGAGUGGUGAAAUGCGUAGAGAUCCGGAGGAACACCAGAGGCGAAGGCGGCCUACUGGGCUGCACCUGACGCUGAGCCGCGAAAGCCAGGGGAGCGAACGGG